Long non-coding RNA from Misgurnus anguillicaudatus (oriental weatherfish), 1387 nucleotides. RefSeq lists it as uncharacterized. Lineage: Eukaryota; Metazoa; Chordata; Actinopteri; Cypriniformes; Cobitidae. The record is from RefSeq and is a predicted model, not a curated record.
CUGAAGUGGGUGGGUAGUUUGAAGCACCGGGGUAAAUCUCAGGCUGUCCGGGAAGAGAAAACUGACUGUCUUACUCAAUCCCGGCUAUUUCUUCUGCAUAGUCAGCUCUCUCUUGACUGCUGCAUUACAACGGAACAUGAGUACACACAGCAUUGGAUUCUCAAGAGGGAAGACUAAAGGAAAGCAAAUGACAGGCUUCUCAUGUUGACCACAAGAAACCCUAAAUCCGAAGGCAGUCAUUUUGAUUUGAGUGCCUACAAGCACCUUUCACAUGUUUGGUCAAGAGAGCUUGAAAUGAGAACAAUUUAGUCAGUUGAACUCCAUCAAGUGGCAAGCCAAGCUCUAAGAGUUGACUUCCAAGAGCUAUGAACUCAGCGGCUUGGCUCCUUUAUUUGCUUGAGAAAAACAUGACAUUAAAGCAGCUUCCUAUUUGAGAGCUCCCGAAAUCAACUGCGAAGCCACCUGUGGGAGCUGAGUAUAUGUAUUGGUUUAUGUCAGAUAGUGAAAGGGCCUUACAAUUGUCUAAUUACUCAAAGGGCAGUUGAUGAUGAGCUAUUGAACCUUCUUCGUGUUGUGGUCCUUUGGGAUUGCAAUAAGCUGUCAUAGACUGUGUGUCUGUUCAAUAAAUGUCACACAUAUUUCCUGUCCAUGGGCACAGAGGAAAAUGUCAAGCUGAUGAUGUUGCUUGACUCCAGGAAAGAAAUCACACCUGCUUUGCUCUCCCUUCUCCAUCCACCCUACCAUUCACAAAUACGGAAGAUGUUUUAACCUCUUCUCUUGUGUAAAGUUUUCACACCUUAGCAGGAUUAUUGAUUCAUGGUUAAGUAGAAUGUAGUAUGUAUUUAUAGGCUACAUGUGCUGUCAUACUUUCAAAAGAAAAAAGCCAGGGACACUUCUGGCAAAGAUAUUCUUAAUCAUAAACAACAACAAAGGAUUGAAACAAUUCUCUGUGAUUGCCAGGGCCUUACUUUAUAUGAGCAGUAGAUCCUCUCAGGGGAAAUCUGAUACAGCCUGUUGGGGAAUCACUUCACUCCUUUUUCCCACAGUUCAACAUAUGGGGUAAGCAUUGCUCCCUCCAUCCCGCUGGCUCCCCCCUUUCCCCCCAUCGCCUACAGGAAGAGAGCCCUCGUAUCAAUCCCCUCAUUAUCCAAACCCACUGCCUGCUAAGGACAGUUAGAAGGUCAUCAGAUGUAGCAAGAGACUCAAGCACGGGGGGAAAAUGCCGAACAGGGAAGCCUGUCCUGGGAUGUUGAGGAUUCUUUGGGAGCUCUGGGUGUAUGGCAUGCAAAUGGACAGGCGCGUGAUGAUAGGUUUGCCAAAAGGAGAGGUCUUGAGUCACUUGCACUGACAUGGAUGCAACUUUGUAGAAUAAAGUCAUGGAAGAGAA